GAGACCUCAGGUCAGGCGGGACUACCCGCUGAAUUUAAGCAUAUCAAUAAGCGGAGGAAAAGAAACUAAACAAGGAUUCCCU
This 82-nucleotide ribosomal RNA is filed under the name Medicago monantha. RNAcentral's name for it is "partial large subunit ribosomal RNA". It matches the Rfam family "Eukaryotic large subunit ribosomal RNA", at positions 1 to 80 of the family's 3401-position model. The record is from RNAcentral. Lineage: Eukaryota; Viridiplantae; Streptophyta; Magnoliopsida; Fabales; Fabaceae.